CAUUUUCAUAUUUAUAUUGUAAGAGACUUUUUCAAAAGCAUACUGAUAUCUCAUUGGAUUUGUAAUCAUCUCUCAUAUUCUGCUACAAACUCUGGCAUCAGCUCUGUCAGGACAGGAGUCUCUGACAUGUUCCCUCACUGCCAUAUCACCAGCACCUAGAAGAGUGCCUAGCACACAAGAGCAUCAUCCAAUCCAUUGGGGGCCUGAAUGGAACAAAAAGGUGGAGGAAGAGUGAAUUCCCUCUCUCUUCUUGAGCUGGAGGUCCAGCAUCUCCUGCCCUUGAACAUCACAGCUCCUGAUUCUCAGGCCGUCAGAUUCCAGGACUCACACCAGCAGCCCCGUCGUUUUCAGGCCUUUGACUUUGGACUGGGAGUUCAGUUCCCCUGGUUCUCAGGCCUUUGGAUUCAAAGUGAACUGUAUCACUGGCUAUCCUGGUUCUUUAGCUUGCAGAUAGCAGAUUGUGGGACUUCUCAGCCUCCGUAACUGUGUGAGCCAAUUUCUAUAGUAAAGCUCCUCUUACAUAUAUCCAUAUAUAUCCUAUUGAUUUUGUUUCUCUCAAGAACCCUCACUAAUAAACAUGAUACUUGGUA
Molecule: long non-coding RNA, 590 nt
Organism: Diceros bicornis minor
Lineage: Eukaryota; Metazoa; Chordata; Mammalia; Perissodactyla; Rhinocerotidae
Exons: 2
Source: RefSeq, a predicted model, not a curated record